Molecule: transfer RNA, 88 nt
Filed under: Hymenobacter sp.
Lineage: Bacteria; Pseudomonadati; Bacteroidota; Cytophagia; Cytophagales; Hymenobacteraceae
Description: tRNA-Ser
Rfam family: tRNA
About the family: Transfer RNA (tRNA) molecules are approximately 80 nucleotides in length.
Source: RNAcentral
GGAUUAAUAGCCAAGUGGUUUAAGGCGCCGUACUUGAAAUACGGUUAUGCGCAAGCAUACAGAGGUUCGAAUCCUUUUUAAUCCGUCA